CAGCAGCCGCGGUAAUACGUAGGUCCCGAGCGUUGUCCGGAUUUAUUGGGCGUAAAGCGAGCGCAGGCGGUUAGAUAAGUCUGAAGUUAAAGGCUGUGGCUUAACCAUAGUACGCUUUGGAAACUGUUUAACUUGAGUGCAAGAGGGGAGAGUGGAAUUCCAUGUGUAGUGGUGAAAUGCGUAGAUAUAUGAAGGAACACCGGUGGCGAAAGCGGCUCUCUGGCUUGUAACUGACGCUGAGGCUCGAAAGCGUGGGGAGCAAACAGGAUUAGAUACCCCCGUAGUCCCUGUCUCUUAUACA
Molecule: ribosomal RNA, 301 nt
Filed under: uncultured bacterium
Lineage: Bacteria
Description: partial 16S ribosomal RNA
Rfam family: Bacterial small subunit ribosomal RNA
Source: RNAcentral